GGUUGUGAUAAAGAGAUAAAACCUAAGUUGAGAUUUGUAAUCAGCGAAUCAGGCAAGUAUCUUACCUUUGCAUUUCCUUUAUGCAAUGGACAUGAGUAAGAAGUUUCAGAAUUAUUCUAUUCCUGUACAGAUUAUGUACGCUUUGAUUAUCAACAUGUUAGCUCAGAUAUAUAUUCUGUUAAGUUGAUUUCUAAAUGGUUAUACAAGUGUCCCCACUUGGAUAAUCAUGGCAUUUAUUCACAUGUUGAUAUACCUUUGUCAAUUACCCGUAUACAUAUAUGUUGAAUUACAUAUUAUUGUUGAGCAAGAUUAAAAACCUUCGGGUUUGGAACCAGGCAUGUAUGAACAUCCCGAUAAUGGGAAAAUUUUUAUGCGCUUCGGCGGACAAAGGGUGAGCGAUGAAUUUCGUUCAAGUUAUGUAGUAUUGAUCAAUACAGGGUACAACGGGGCUGAUCACCCUCCGUGCCCGUAAGUUAUGACGGUUUGCGGAUGAAUUUCUGCUAAACCUUUUCGAAAAUGAAAAACAAUGUUCAUAGUAUGUUUCUUAAACCCUAUUCAUGGGUAGAGCCAGAGCCAAAUUUAAAUAAUUUGGAAGAGAGUUGUUAUGUGAAUUUUUUUUAUCAGUACAGAUUACUUCACAACUUUCGAUUCGUUGUAGAAGUGUUAUAUAAAGAGAAUACUUAUAUUUUUUCAGCUUAUAUAUAUAAUUGCUAUUACUUGCUGGGCACUCAAAUGCUCAUCCUUGCUUAAACUAAAUGUUUUCAGUUACGUACGACCGACCUGAAGGCUCAGGCACGAACAAGGGAAAAGAAAAGUUGUUCGAAUGAGAUUUAGUAUGAGUUAAUGGUUAUAGUUAGUAAGACAAUGGAAUCUAUUGUCAGGUAUUGUAAGGAAUGUAUUUGAAGGUCACGUACCUGGGGAAGUAAACUUUGAUGUAUGUAAAUUAAGUUCGAAUGUAUUAUUAUUUAGUAUUAUUCAGCUUAAAGAAAUGGUAUCGUGGAGAACCGAGUUCGGGUUUCAAGUACCUGGAUUUGGGGUCGCCACAGGUUGGUAUCAAAGCUGUAGGUUAUAAACGUUAGGAAUGCGAAACCUAGGUAAUAACCUUAGUAGAAUGGAGAACG
RNAcentral lists this long non-coding RNA (1121 nucleotides) under Panax ginseng (ginseng). Its description in RNAcentral is "long non-coding RNA (PGIN_LNC005385)". Lineage: Eukaryota; Viridiplantae; Streptophyta; Magnoliopsida; Apiales; Araliaceae. The record is from RNAcentral.